Long non-coding RNA from Biomphalaria glabrata, 1487 nucleotides. RefSeq lists it as uncharacterized. The transcript is spliced from 2 exons. Lineage: Eukaryota; Metazoa; Mollusca; Gastropoda; Planorbidae. The record is from RefSeq and is a predicted model, not a curated record.
CUGCUCGAACCUUCCACCAACCCGAUCGAGCUUACUAACUGGGGAAAAAUCCGCUCGAGGAAAAGUACACUUGGCGAUACUUACCCCACACCUCUUUGACUUCGUAUUUAAUUUUAACCAAGCCUAGUGAUACCCAAUCAAUUUUUAUAGAAAAAAGGACGAGGAAUUCAGAGAUACCAUCAGUUUUUUCAUAGGUCAGACCGUUACGGUGCUAUAAAAAUACAAACUUGAAAAUUGCUGCCAGCGGGCUUAAUGCGCUCGAACUUCGCACUUUACUAUAUAUCAUGAUAUAAUUAAUAAUCAAAUCAUGUGACUAAAUUGACUAAAUAUAUUGCCAGGGCAGUAGAUCUAGAAAAUUCUAGAUUUAUGCCUGUUGAUGUUAUGCUAUUUAUGAGUAGACAUUUUAUAAUGGAUUUACUUUUUACCUUAGUUUUAGUGUCCUUAGGCUUAGUGACACUUAGUCUUUUCUUAGUUCUAUAUCUUGACUUUAGUCUUAGUUUUAAUUUAAUUAUUUACUAUUUAGUCUGUCUGGACAGUCUGGUCUAGUAAAAUAAAUAGUUCAGUGUGGAUAUAAUAGAGCUAGAAAUAAUCUAGAAUCUAGUCAUAACUGUAGUGACAUAGUGUCUGAGUAGUGUAAUCGAGAUAGUACACUAGAUCUCUAAAAUACAUUCUAGCUGACCAUUAUCUGUAGUAGUUGUAGCUAGAUAUGUACAACUAGGUGCUAAAGCUAGAUUCUAGAUUAAUGUAAAAUAAUCUAGAUUAUUCUAGAUAGUUCUAUAACCUAGUUAUAGAUCUAUUAGUCAUCUUUCUUCAAAGUUUUAGAGACAGUCUACAGAGACAGAGUCUGCUGUAAUUAAUUCUAGAUUCCUAGAAACCUCAAAGUCUAGAUCUAGUCACUAUUAUUUUUAGGGGAAUCUAAAUAUGAAGGAUAAUAUCUAGAGUAGAGUAUAGUAUUACCAAGUCUAGAUCUAGAUUCAAUAUUAGAAUAAUGAAUUAAUGCUGCAUGAAUGAACAACUGUAAAAUAAUUAUUAUGUAGAAAAAUAAAAUUGUCCCCACAUUAUUAUUUGAAUCUGUUGCAUUUUACGUCUCGAGAAAUGAUCUUUUCCCUUUGCAACCACUUGUGUGACUAAGGGGGCCAAUCCUUGAUGCACAGCUGCAGACCAGGGUUGGGCAUAUGUAAUCACCAGGCGCCGUUGCAUUUUCUCCCUUCUUUCUUCUACUUGUGUAUGGCAUCUGCCAUCUGGGACCCUUCCUUUAUGCUCGCUCUCCAUGUGGAUCUAUCCAGUGCCACUUUUCCUAACUUUUAGAGUUGAUUUUGAAGAGCUUCAUGUCGUGUUUGCAUACAUAAGUAUACCUUAACAGUGGACGACCAGCGGCUCUCCUGAAUAUCUAUGGAAGUCGACUUUGUGGCAUUCUAUGAACGUGACCAAGCCAGCAUGGAUGUCCUGUCACCCUUCUCUUCACAGUGCUUCCUAGAUCUUUAGGA